This 469-nucleotide ribosomal RNA is filed under the name Nothophoma quercina. RNAcentral's name for it is "eukaryotic LSU rRNA". The stretch from base 114 to 267 matches the Rfam family "5.8S ribosomal RNA". The record is from RNAcentral. Lineage: Eukaryota; Fungi; Ascomycota; Dothideomycetes; Pleosporales; Didymellaceae.
CUCUUACCCAUGUCUUUUAAGUACCUUACGUUUCCUCGGCGGGUCCGCCCGCCGAUUGGACAAUUUAAACCAUUUGCAGUUGCAAUCAGCGUCUGAAAAAACUUAAUAGUUACAACUUUCAACAACGGAUCUCUUGGUUCUGGCAUCGAUGAAGAACGCAGCGAAAUGCGAUAAGUAGUGUGAAUUGCAGAAUUCAGUGAAUCAUCGAAUCUUUGAACGCACAUUGCGCCCCUUGGUAUUCCAUGGGGCAUGCCUGUUCGAGCGUCAUUUGUACCUUCAAGCUCUGCUUGGUGUUGGGUGUUUGUCUCGCCUCUGCGUGUAGACUCGCCUCAAAACAAUUGGCAGCCGGCGUAUUGAUUUCGGAGCGCAGUACAUCUCGCGCUUUGCACUCAUAACGACGACGUCCAAAAGUACAUUUUUACACUCUUGACCUCGGAUCAGGUAGGGAUACCCGCUGAACUUAAGCAUA